Long non-coding RNA from Macadamia integrifolia, 598 nucleotides. RefSeq lists it as uncharacterized. The record is from RefSeq and is a predicted model, not a curated record. Lineage: Eukaryota; Viridiplantae; Streptophyta; Magnoliopsida; Proteales; Proteaceae. The transcript is spliced from 3 exons.
AGUCGGUUAGGGGGAGAAUUAAAGGGGCAAGGGUACCACCGAACACCCAUUUAGUCUCUCUUAUUUCUGCAAACAGCAAGAAAAAAAAGAGAGAAAGAAGGAGAAGAAGAAAGGAGAAGGAAGAAGAAGAGAGAGAAAUAAAAAGAGAGCUCAUUUAUCUUAGACAACUCAGGGAAUUUGACUAGCAGUGUGGAAAUCUGUACAGUGCAAAAAGGGAAUCUACCUAACUCUGAACACCAAAAUGACGAAAGCGGUAUUUUGCUGAGUCUUAGCAUUGAUCAUGAGGUAGUGGCCAUGGAUCACUUGGCUUAUAUUCAAGAACAUGAAUUCGACUAUGGACCCGCCUGUGAUUGUGACGACUGUGCCUACAGAGGCCAGUAUUACUGAGAAGUACAUCUACCACUGACUAUUCUUUUUGUGUAAUUAUAUGCUACCAUGAAGACUUCACUUUUUGCUAGUCUGAGCUCACUGACGAAUAGGGUUACUUGGAAAUCAUUAUGUCUUUUGUGUACAUAUUCUUUUGGUUUAUAAAUUUGUAAACUAUGGUAUCACUUAGAGACAUUGGAUGGCUAUGGAGUUUAUUUAUAACUGUGAUAUA